GACAGAGGUGCCGAGCGUUAGGCGGAAUCACUGGGCUUAAAGCGUGUGUAGGCGGAUCCGUAAGUACCUUGUGAAAUCCCACGGCUCAACCGUGGAACUGCUCGGCAUACUGCGGGUCUUGAGCCACUUAGGGGCAACCGGAACAAACGGUGGAGCGGUGAAAUGCGUAGAUAUCGUUUGGAACGCCGAUGGUGAAAACAGGUUGCUGGGAGUGCGCUGACGCUGAGACACGAAAGCCAGGGGAGCGAACGGG
This 253-nucleotide ribosomal RNA is filed under the name uncultured bacterium. RNAcentral's name for it is "partial 16S ribosomal RNA". It matches the Rfam family "Bacterial small subunit ribosomal RNA", at positions 524 to 776 of the family's 1533-position model. The record is from RNAcentral.